AUACGUAGGUGACAAGCGUUAUCCGGAUUUACUGGGCGUAAAGGGCGUGUAGGCGGUCUUGCAAGUCAGAAGUGAAAUUCCUGAGCUCAACUCGGGCGCUGCUUCUGAAACUGCAGGACUUGAGUGCUGGAGGGGAUAGCGGAAUUCCUAGUGGAGCGGUAAAAUGCGCAGAUAUUAGGAAGAACACCGGUGGCGAAGGCGGCUUUCUGGACAGAAACUGAAGCUGAGGCGCGAAAGCGUGGUGAGCAAACAGGAUGAGAUACCCGGGUAGUCCACGCCGUAAACGAUGAAUACUAGGUGUAGGGGGUAUCGACUCCCUCUGUGCCGCAGUUAACACAAUAAGUAUUCCGCCUGGGGAGUACGGCCGCAAGGUUGAAACUCAAAUGAAUUGGCGGGG
This 397-nucleotide ribosomal RNA is filed under the name uncultured bacterium. Its description in RNAcentral is "partial 16S ribosomal RNA". It matches the Rfam family "Bacterial small subunit ribosomal RNA", at positions 523 to 918 of the family's 1533-position model. The record is from RNAcentral.